RNA transcript from Styela clava, 2081 nucleotides. It is a transcript of the gene named sodium-dependent dopamine transporter-like, with no coding region annotated. Lineage: Eukaryota; Metazoa; Chordata; Ascidiacea; Stolidobranchia; Styelidae. The record is from RefSeq and is a predicted model, not a curated record.
UCGGGGUUCUUUGCUUUCAGAUAACACUUUACUUCUGUAGAUAAUGGCGCUCGUUGUGUUUUAAAUGGGUUGAAAUUGGUAUGGCGACUUUGACUUCCUGUUUUAACAUUAGAAAGAUUAGCUUAGGGCUGUUCCACAUAGGCCUAGUUUAAGGAUACUUUUAUGACCAUUAGAUUGCCUUUGUGAUUGUUUUCACAGGCAUGUUUGUAAUCGCUUCAAUCUUCACGAUGAUAUCUAGGAGGUAUUCGAAGGAUACUCGACAUAUUCGACGGAUACUCAACUAGAUUUGGACUUGUUUCUGUCGCACUCUUUGAAACAAUUGCAGUUGCCUGGGUCUUCAAACUAGAAAACUUCGAAAAUGACAUAGAGAGAAUGAUUCAUUCAAAACCUGGAUUGUAUUGGGAAAUAAUAUGAAAAUAUAUCUGCCCAAUUAUUAUGGGAGUUACUCGUUAUUCUGAUUGUGAGCUUCGUGAACAAAGACAAUGUCUCGAAAGACGAGUUAACCUAUAUGCCAUGGGCCGCGUUUUUUAUCGUAUUAUUGAUACUAAACUUGAUGUUCUGUAUUCCAUUAUUUGCGUUUCGGAAUUUUCGAACCGAAAUGGAUCGGUGCUAUUUCUUACGGGAGAAAUUAAAGAGCUGAUCAGAAUGAUAAUGAUGAAAUCGGAGUUAUGAAAUCUGCGACUCCGUUGAAUUUAAAUUUUUGUAUUGGCGUCUUGGGACACAUAACAUAUUUUCGAAUGUAGAUGACAGUUCACAAGAAUAUCCCACCUAGUGGAUAAUAAAUAUCGAAAAUCAAAAUUUGUCUGUAGAAUUUAAAUUUGACGGAGUCGCAAAUUCCGUAACUCCGAUUUCAUAAUUUUUAUUCUGUUCAGCUCUUUUAAAUCUUCCCUAAGAAUUCGGGUCGAAAAUUCCGAUUUGAAUAUUCUAAAAUACCCAAAACAUUGACAAAACCUCGUCUAACUUGUCGACACACUCUGGUAUUCAAGAACCGAAUUUUUUGUUUGAGUACGGCAGUAUUUUUGGUCGACUACUGACUUGUUCAAUAAUCAACUCGUUUGACUACCGAGGUAUCACUGUACUUGCUUCAAUAUUGUUUUCUAUGAAAGCUCUAGUAUGAUAAGCAAAUCUGUUAUUUAAAAACCAAAGUAUUCCACAAAAUUGAUUUUUAAUUGAGCGGCAGUUUGUGCGUUUACAAUCUAUGAUAAAACGCUGUCGAAACCACACCGCUUUCAACAGAUUCAACACUUCGGAUUUAUAUAUUGUUUCCGUACAUUGAAAUUUAUUUUUUCAUCUUUUAUUGUAUAAUUUAUUUCGUAUACAUGUUGUUUUGCCCUGUUUGAAUUUGGUAUUCAUUCUUCUGUGCCUGCUUUCUAUCGCUUUUUCUUAUUUCAUGUAUUGUUUGUCUUAAUUAGAAUAAUUUUUUCUGUGAUUGGAAUAAUAUUUUCAUGCUAGAUUUUACUGCUCCAGAAGUCGUUAAUAUUUGAAUCUGUUUCGAAUCAUACAAAGCUUGAAAAUCUAGAAUUUAUUGUAAUCAGAAAAUUGUACCUUUGCUUCAAGUGAAUGUAGGCGCGACUUCGACUAAAAGAUUUCGAUUUUUUUAGGGAUAUCAGAUUGCAAAAUUAUGUAGAGCUGAUCUAUGAUUAUCCGGGUACUUUUUACUUUGGACUCCCUGAGUGAAAGCUUUUGAUUUUAAUAACAAAAAAUACAAAUUUAAGUCUAUAAUUCAAAAUCCACUCUAUGAGAGUUCAUUAAAACAAUCUAAGUCCUACUAUUUCAGUCGAGAUCAAAAUUUAUGAGUCUUUUAUUAUCAAGUUUUAAAUUCACCCUUUUAAUGAAAAUUCUCACCCAAACAAGUAUCAAUAUAAAGUUUUUUGUAAAACCCUAUAAACAGCGUCCUCCAAUAUACAGAAUUUCUUAUUCCAACCAGGGUUACUUGUUUUAUUAUCAAUUUCUAUUGAAGCUCUCUUUUCUGUUUCACAUUGAAAUGUAUAGUCUGUUUUUUAUCACAAUCCCUAAACCUCAAUCUAAAGAAGUGGUUUCAAAUUUUCCAAGCCCCGUUUUUAGAAUUUGUCAAGUCUCUU